This 1432-nucleotide ribosomal RNA is filed under the name metagenome. Its description in RNAcentral is "bacterial SSU rRNA". It matches the Rfam family "Archaeal small subunit ribosomal RNA". The record is from RNAcentral.
GGUUGAUCCUGCCGGCGGCCACUGCUAUGGGAGUACGCUUAAGACAUGCGAGUCGAGAGGGUUCGGCCCUCGGCGCAUUGCUCAGUAACACGCGGACAAUCUGCCCUAUGGUGGAGGAUAACCUCGGGAAACUGAGGAUAAUACUCCAUAGAACUCCUCUGCUGGAAGGCUUGGAGUUCGAAAGCUCAGGCGCCAUAGGAUGAGUCUGCGGCCUAUCAGGCUGUAGUGGGUGUAAAUGACCCACUAACCUAUGACGGGUACGGGCCUUGGGAGAGGUUGCCCGGAGAUGGGCUCUGAGACAUGAGCCCAGGCCCUACGGGGUGCAGCAGUUACGAAAACUUCACAAUGCGCGCAAGCGCGAUGAGGGAACUCCUAGUGAUACCACUUCGGUGGUAUCUGUUCAGAUGCCUAAAAAGCAUCUGGAGAAAGGGCCGGGUAAGACGGGUGCCAGCCGCCGCGGUAAUACCCGCGGCCCGAGUGGUGGUCAUUAUUAUUGAGCCUAAAACGUUCGUAGCCGGUCCGAUAAAUUCCCGGGUAAAUCGUAUGGCUUAACCAUGCGAAUUCCAGGACGACUGUCGGACUAGGGACUGGGGGAAGCCUAGGGUAUUCCCGGGGUAGGGGUAAAAUCUUGUAAUCCCGGGAGGACCACCAGUGGCGAAGGCGCUAGGCUAGAACAGAUCCGACGGUGAGGAACGAAGGCUGGGGUAGCAAACGGGAUUAGAUACCCCGGUAGUCCCAGCUGUAAACGCUGCGGACCUGGUGUCGGGAGAUCUGCGAGAUCCCCCGGUGCCGGAGCGAAGGUGUUAAGUCCGCUGCUUGGGGAGUACGGUCGCAAGACUGAAACUUAAAGGAAUUGGCGGGAGAGCACCGCAACGGGAGUAGCGUGCGGUUUAAUUGGAUUCAACGCCGGAAAACUCACCGGGAGCGACGGCUACAUGAAGGCCAAGCUGAUGACUUUGCCUGAUUAGCCGAGAGGUGGUGCAUGGCCGUCUUCAGUUCGUACCGUGAGGCGUUCUGUUAAGUCAGAUAACGAACGAGACCCUCGUCCACAAUUGCCACCCUUUUCUCCGGAAAAGGAGCACAUUGUGGGGACUGCCGGCGCUAAGUCGGAGGAAGGGGAGGUCGGCGGUAGGUCCGUAUGCCCCGAAUCUCCCGGGCAACACGCGCGCUACAAAGGUAGGGACAAUGGGCUUACAACGCCGAAAGGCGAAGUCAAUCCUGAAACCCUAUCGUAGUCUGGAUUGAGGGUUGUAACUCACCCUCAUGAAAAAGGAUUCCGUAGAAAUCGCGGGUCAACAUCCCGCGGUGAAUACGCCCCUGCUCUUUGCACACACCGCCCGUCAUGUCACCCGAGUUGGGCCUGAAUGGGGUAUUGCUAUCAUGGCACUCUCGAGUUCAGGUUCAGCGAGGAGGACUAAGUCGUAACAAGGUA